CCUACGGGAGGCAGCAGUAGGGAAUAUUGCUCAAUGGGGGAAACCCUGAAGCAGCAACGCCGCGUGGAGGAUGAAGGUUUUAGGAUUGUAAACUCCUUUUGUUAGAGAAGAUUAUGACGGUAUCUAACGAAUAAGCACCGGCUAACUCCGUGCCAGCAGCCGCGGUAAUACGGAGGGUGCAAGCGUUACUCGGAAUCACUGGGCGUAAAGAGUGCGUAGGCGGGGUAAUAAGUCAGAUGUGAAAUCCCGAGGCUCAACUUCGGAAUUGCCUCUGAAACUGUUAUUCUAGAGUAUGGGAGAGGUAGGUGGAAUUCUUGGUGUAGGGGUAAAAUCCGUAGAGAUCAAGAGGAAUACUCAUUGCGAAGGCGACCUGCUAGAACAUAACUGACGCUGAUGCGCGAAAGCGUGGGGAGCAAACAGGAUUAGAUACCCCUGUAGUC
This 440-nucleotide ribosomal RNA is filed under the name uncultured bacterium. Its description in RNAcentral is "partial 16S ribosomal RNA". It matches the Rfam family "Bacterial small subunit ribosomal RNA", at positions 338 to 795 of the family's 1533-position model. The record is from RNAcentral.